This 305-nucleotide ribosomal RNA is filed under the name uncultured bacterium. Its description in RNAcentral is "bacterial SSU rRNA". It matches the Rfam family "Bacterial small subunit ribosomal RNA", at positions 338 to 645 of the family's 1533-position model. The record is from RNAcentral.
CCUACGGGGCGCAGCAGUGGGGAAUAUUGCACAAUGGGGGAAACCCUGAUGUAGCGACGCCGCGUGAGUGAAGAAGUAUCUCGGUACGUAAAGCUCUAUCAGCAGGGAAGAAAAAAAGUCUUUGGCUUUGGACGGUACUUGACUAAGAAGCCCCGGCUAAAUACGUGCCAGCAGCCGCGGUAAUACGUAUGGGGCAAGCGUUAUCCGGAUUUACUGGGUGUAAAGGGAGCGUAGGCGGUACGGCAAGUCAGAAGUGAAAGCCUGGGGCUCAACCCCGGAAUUGCUUUUGAAACUGUCGAACUAGG